This 1271-nucleotide ribosomal RNA is filed under the name Kocuria palustris. RNAcentral's name for it is "bacterial SSU rRNA". It matches the Rfam family "Bacterial small subunit ribosomal RNA", at positions 249 to 1533 of the family's 1533-position model. Lineage: Bacteria; Bacillati; Actinomycetota; Actinomycetes; Micrococcales; Micrococcaceae. The record is from RNAcentral.
UUGGUGAGGUAAUGGCUCACCAAGGCGACGACGGGUAGCCGGCCUGAGAGGGUGACCGGCCACACUGGGACUGAGACACGGCCCAGACUCCUACGGGAGGCAGCAGUGGGGAAUAUUGCACAAUGGGCGAAAGCCUGAUGCAGCGACGCCGCGUGAGGGAUGACGGCCUUCGGGUUGUAAACCUCUUUCAGCAGGGAAGAAGCCACAAGUGACGGUACCUGCAGAAGAAGCGCCGGCUAACUACGUGCCAGCAGCCGCGGUAAUACGUAGGGCGCAAGCGUUGUCCGGAAUUAUUGGGCGUAAAGAGCUCGUAGGCGGUUUGUCGCGUCUGCUGUGAAAGCCCGGGGCUUAACCCCGGGUGUGCAGUGGGUACGGGCAGACUAGAGUGCAGUAGGGGAGACUGGAAUUCCUGGUGUAGCGGUGGAAUGCGCAGAUAUCAGGAGGAACACCGAUGGCGAAAGCAGGUCUCUGGGCUGUUACUGACGCUGAGGAGCGAAAGCAUGGGGAGCGAACAGGAUUAGAUACCCUGGUAGUCCAUGCCGUAAACGUUGGGCACUAGGAUUAGGUGUGGGGACAUUCCACGUUUUCCGCGCCGUAGCUAACGCAUUAAGUGCCCCGCCUGGGGAGUACGGCCGCAAGGCUAAAACUCAAAGGAAUUGACGGGGGCCCGCACAAGCGGCGGAGCAUGCGGAUUAAUUCGAUGCAACGCGAAGAACCUUACCAAGGCUUGACAUAUACCGGAUCGUUCCAGAGAUGGUUCUUCCCCUUUGGGGUCGGUAUACAGGUGGUGCAUGGUUGUCGUCAGCUCGUGUCGUGAGAUGUUGGGUUAAGUCCCGCAACGAGCGCAACCCUCGUUCCAUGUUGCCAGCACGUGAUGGUGGGGACUCAUGGGAGACUGCCGGGGUCAACUCGGAGGAAGGUGGGGAUGACGUCAAAUCAUCAUGCCCCUUAUGUCUUGGGCUUCACGCAUGCUACAAUGGCCGGUACAAAGGGUUGCGAUACUGUGAGGUGGAGCUAAUCCCAAAAAGCCGGUCUCAGUUCGGAUUGAGGUCUGCAACUCGACCUCAUGAAGUCGGAGUCGCUAGUAAUCGCAGAUCAGCAACGCUGCGGUGAAUACGUUCCCGGGCCUUGUACACACCGCCCGUCAAGUCACGAAAGUCGGUAACACCCGAAGCCGGUGGCCCAACCCUUGUGGAGGGAGCCGUCGAAGGUGGGACUGGCGAUUGGACUAGUCUAUCUAGUUCCCCGUACAUGACCCGUGCUUUAUUUUC